GACGAACGCUGGCGGCGUGCUUAACACAUGCAAGUCGAACGAUGAACCGGAGCUUGCUCCGGGGAUUAGUGGCGAACGGUGAGUAACACGUGGGCAACCUGCCCCAGACACCGGGAUAACCUUCCGAAAGGAUGGCUAAUACCGGAUACGACCACUUCGGGCAUCCGACGGUGGUGGAAAGGAUUCUGGUCUGGGAUGGGCCCGCGGCCUAUCAGCUUGUUGGUGGGGUAAUGGCCUACCAAGGCGACGACGGGUAGCCGGCCUGAGAGGGCGACCGGCCACACUGGGACUGAGACACGGCCCAGACUCCUACGGGAGGCAGCAGUGGGGAAUAUUGCGCAAUGGGCGAAAGCCUGACGCAGCGACGCCGCGUGAGGGACGAAGGUCUUCGGAUUGUAAACCUACUUUCUAGCAGGGACGAAGACGAAAGUAGACUGUACCUCGCAG
This 447-nucleotide ribosomal RNA is filed under the name uncultured bacterium. RNAcentral's name for it is "bacterial SSU rRNA". It matches the Rfam family "Bacterial small subunit ribosomal RNA", at positions 28 to 484 of the family's 1533-position model. The record is from RNAcentral.